This 200-nucleotide ribosomal RNA is filed under the name uncultured bacterium. RNAcentral's name for it is "partial 16S ribosomal RNA". It matches the Rfam family "Bacterial small subunit ribosomal RNA", at positions 8 to 204 of the family's 1533-position model. The record is from RNAcentral.
AGAGUUUGAUCAUGGCUCAGGACGAACGCUGGCGGCGUGCCUAAUACAUGCAAGUCGAGCGCUGGAACGCUCCUUCGGGAGCGGACUGGAGCGGCGGACGGGUGAGUAACACGUGGGCAACCUGCCCAUAAGACCGGGAUAACUUGCGGAAACGUGAGCUAAGACCGGAUAGACGGUAGACUCGCAUGAGUCUGUUGGGA